This 868-nucleotide ribosomal RNA is filed under the name uncultured bacterium. Its description in RNAcentral is "bacterial SSU rRNA". It matches the Rfam family "Bacterial small subunit ribosomal RNA", at positions 28 to 895 of the family's 1533-position model. The record is from RNAcentral.
GACGAACGCUGGCGGCGUGCCUAACACAUGCAAGUCUGGGAGAAUAAGGUAGCAAUAUCUUUAGUAAACCGGCGCACGGGUGAGUAAUACGUAGGUAACCUGCCCUUUGGUCUGGGAUAACCCCGCGAAAGCGGGACUAAUACCGGAUGAUGCAGCGGCUCCACAUGGAGAUGUUGUUAAACCCCGUAAGGGGGCCAAUGGAUGGGCCUGCGUCCCAUUAGAUAGUUGGUGAGGUAACGGCUCACCAAGUCUGCGAUGGGUAGCUGAUCUGAGAGGAUGAUCAGCCACACUGGAACUGAGACACGGUCCAGACUCCUACGGGAGGCAGCAGUGAGGAAUAUUGCGCAAUGGACGAAAGUCUGACGCAGCGACGCCGCGUGAAGGAAGAAGGCUCUUUGAGUCGUAAACUUCUGUAGAGAGGGAAGAAUGUCCCGUUCUUCGGGAUUGACGGUACCUCUAGAGUAAGGAUCGGCCAACUACGUGCCAGCAGCCGCGGUAAUACGUAGGAUCCGAGCGUUGUCCGGAAUCACUGGGUGUAAAGGGAGCGCAGGCGGGCUUUCAAGUCGGUGGUGAAAUCUUACAGCUUAACUGUAAAACUGCCUCCGAUACUGCAAGUCUUGAGUGUGGAAGAGGGCGAUGGAAUUCAUGGUGUAGCGGUGAAAUGCGUAGAUAUCAUGAAGAACACCGGUCGCGAAGGCGGUCGCCUGGUCCAUUACUGACGCUCAUGCUCGAAAGUGUGGGGAGCAAACAGGAUUAGAUACCCUGGUAGUCCACACCUUAAACGAUGAAUACUUGGUGUCGGGUCGUAAGGCUCGGUGCCAAAGCUAACGCAUUAAGUAUUCCACCUGGGGAGUACGAUCGCAAGGUG